Long non-coding RNA from Equus quagga, 635 nucleotides. RefSeq lists it as uncharacterized. Lineage: Eukaryota; Metazoa; Chordata; Mammalia; Perissodactyla; Equidae. The transcript has 3 exons. The record is from RefSeq and is a predicted model, not a curated record.
CGAGCCUCAAGAAAAACGGAUCUAAGAAGGCGGCAGCUUUUCCUGCUGAGAUGGAAGAUCUGGCUUCACUUUGGGUUGACUGAGUGCUUGUUUUUUAACGUUUCUUCAAGUAAAGUCAAACAUCCACUCCAAGCAGGCUGCAAACUCCCCAGGACGCUGAGGCAGCAGGCAGAGGAGGCAGGGCUUGAAGGGUCUUGAGGCUGCUGGCCAUCAGAAUGGAAGAACGCUAUCAGCUCUCCUGGUUCUCAGGCCUUUGGACUCAAACUGAGACCAAACCACCAGCUCUCCCAGGUCUCCAACUCGCCAACUCACCCUGCGGAUGUUGGGAAUAAUCAACCUCCCAAAUCAGUUUGGCAGGAUCAGAAUUUCUGGUUCACAAGCAUGGCCUGACCUAGGGCCAGCUCCUGCUGUGUCCGUGCCUCCCAGAAGGGGAUUUUCUAGACCACUGGAGAUCCUGAGGCCUCUCUGACAAAAGGGCUGGAGACACUCUGCCAGAUGGGCCUGGAAGGUGGCACAUAAGUAUAAGAUCAGGACUAUCCUGGGUUUGAAGGGAACCAGGACAGCUUUGUGACAUAACAGGAGCCCCACUGGAUUUUCUGAAGUGCAAUUUCACCCCGUUUACACUUCUUGGUGUG